This 253-nucleotide ribosomal RNA is filed under the name uncultured bacterium. RNAcentral describes it as "partial 16S ribosomal RNA". It matches the Rfam family "Bacterial small subunit ribosomal RNA", at positions 524 to 776 of the family's 1533-position model. The record is from RNAcentral.
UACGGAGGGUGCAAGCGUUAUCCGGAUUCACUGGGUUUAAAGGGUGCGUAGGUGGGCAGGUAAGUCAGUGGUGAAAUCUCCGGGCUUAACUCGGAAACUGCCAUUGAUACUAUCUUUCUUGAAUACCGUGGAGGUCAGCGGAAUAUGUCAUGUAGCGGUGAAAUGCUUAGAUAUGACAUAGAACACCAAUGGCGAAGGCAGCUCACUACACAAAGAUUGACACUGAGGCACGAAAGCGUGGGGAUCAAACAGG